This 443-nucleotide ribosomal RNA is filed under the name uncultured bacterium. Its description in RNAcentral is "partial 16S ribosomal RNA". It matches the Rfam family "Bacterial small subunit ribosomal RNA", at positions 338 to 795 of the family's 1533-position model. The record is from RNAcentral.
CCUACGGGUGACAGCAGUGGGGAAUAUUGGGUAAUGGGCGCAAGCCUGACCCAGCAACGCCGCGUGAAGGAAGACGGCCCUCGGGUUGUAAACUUCUUUUGUUAGGGACGAAGAAAGUGACGGUACCUGACGAAUAAGCCAAGGCUAACUACGUGCCAGCAGCCGCGGUGAUACGUAGGCCGCAAGCGUUAUGCGGAUUUACUGGGUGUAAAGGGCGUGUAGGCGGGACUGCAAGUCAGAUGUGAAAUUCCAGGGCUCAACCCUGGAACUGCAUUUGAAACUGUAGGUCUUGAGUGAAGGUGAGGUAGGCGGAAUUCAGGGUGUAGCGGUGAAAUGCGUAGAGAUACGAAAGAACACCUAUGGCGAAGGCAGCCUACUAAACAUUGACUGACGUUGAGGCGCGAAAGCGUGGGGAGCAAACAGGAUUAGAUACCCUAGUAGUC